This 492-nucleotide ribosomal RNA is filed under the name uncultured bacterium. RNAcentral's name for it is "partial 16S ribosomal RNA". It matches the Rfam family "Bacterial small subunit ribosomal RNA", at positions 29 to 507 of the family's 1533-position model. The record is from RNAcentral.
AGUGAACGCUGGCGGUAGGCCUAACACAUGCAAGUCGAACGGCAGCACAGUAAGAGCUUGCUCUUACGGGUGGCGAGUGGCGGACGGGUGAGGAAUACAUCGGAAUCUACUUUUUCGUGGGGGAUAACGUAGGGAAACUUACGCUAAUACCGCAUACGACCUACGGGUGAAAGCAGGGGAUCUUCGGACCUUGCGCGAUUGAAUGAGCCGAUGUCGGAUUAGCUAGUUGGCGGGGUAAAGGCCCACCAAGGCGACGAUCCGUAGCUGGUCUGAGAGGAUGGUGAGCCAGACUGGAACUGAGACACGGUCCAGACUCCUACGGGAGGCAGCAGUGGGGAAUAUUGGACAAUGGGCGCAAGCCUGAUCCAGCCAUACCGCGUGGGUGAAGAAGGCCUUCGGGUUGUAAAGCCCUUUUGUUGGGAAAGAAAAGCAGCAGGUUAAUACCCCGCUGCUCUGACGGUACCCAAAGAAUAAGCACCGGCUAACUUCGUG